Molecule: ribosomal RNA, 269 nt
Filed under: uncultured prokaryote
Description: partial 16S ribosomal RNA
Rfam family: Bacterial small subunit ribosomal RNA
Source: RNAcentral
UACGGUAGGGGCAAGCGUUAUCCGGAUUUACUGGGUGUAAAGGGAGCGCAGACGGAACUGCAAGUCUGAUGUGAAAGCCCGGGGCUCAACCGCGGGACUGCAUCGGAUACUGUAGAUCUGGAGUGCCGGAGGGGCAAGCGGAAUUCCUGGUGUAGCGGUGAAAUGCGUAGAUAUCAGGAGGAACACCGGCGGCGAAGGCGGCUUGCUGGACGGCAACUGACGUUGAGGCUCGAAAGCGUGGGGAGCAAACAGGAUUAGAUACCCCGGUA